GACGAACGCUGGCGGCGUGCUUAACACAUGCAAGUCGAACGGAAAGGCCCUGCUUUUGUGGGGUGCUCGAGUGGCGAACGGGUGAGUAACACGUGAGUAACCUGCCCUUGACUUUGGGAUAACUUCAGGAAACUGGGGCUAAUACCGGAUAGGAGCUCCUGCUGCAUGGUGGGGGUUGGAAAGUUUCGGCGGUUGGGGAUGGACUCGCGGCUUAUCAGCUUGUUGGUGGGGUAGUGGCUUACCAAGGCUUUGACGGGUAGCCGGCCUGGGAGGGUGACCGGCCACAUUGGGACUGAGGUACGGCCCAGACUCCUACCGGAGGCAACAGUGGGGAAUAUUGCACAAUGGGCCGAAGCCAGAUGCGACAACGCCGCGUGCGGGAUGACGGCCUUCGGGUUGUAAACCGCUUUCGCCUGUGACGAAGCGUGAGUGACGGUAAUGGGUAAAGAAGCACCGGCUAACUACGUG
Molecule: ribosomal RNA, 468 nt
Filed under: uncultured bacterium
Lineage: Bacteria
Description: partial 16S ribosomal RNA
Rfam family: Bacterial small subunit ribosomal RNA
Source: RNAcentral